RNAcentral lists this long non-coding RNA (992 nucleotides) under Fragaria vesca (wild strawberry). RNAcentral describes it as "long non-coding RNA (FVES_LNC000677)". The record is from RNAcentral. Lineage: Eukaryota; Viridiplantae; Streptophyta; Magnoliopsida; Rosales; Rosaceae.
GAAAAUAUAUUUCAUAUUUUUUUAACAAGUCGAAAAGUGGAAAACCAUAAAGAAACUUGCAAACAGUUACUGCUCUACAAGCAGACCAUUUAAAUUGAAAAAAAAAAAAUUAAAUAUGGUCUGAAUAGAAAAAUAUCCCUUCGAAUGACCUUGAAGGUAAAAAGCCCACAUAACUUCUUUUUUUUCUUUUUUUUUUUGGUAAACCACAGAACUUUUCUAUUUGAUGGUAUGGAUACAUUUUUCUUUGAGUGGGACAUGGGAGGAUAUGAUCUGAGAAAGAGCGUGGUGAAAAUGAGGAAACAGCUUUGAGCACAUAUUUUCCUUGUGUUUAUAGCAUCAAAUAGGUGACACAAAAUGAAAGUAAAACAGUUUCUACUAACUCACCGUUUAAUGGAUCUUGAGAAACAGGCAUUUCAAUGCGAUUGAAAGUAGUGGAUCCUGACAAUGGUUGAUGAUUAUGAACUUGACUGAGAGCGAGAUUUAUCAGCUCACCAACAUCUUUGAGUACCUAUGGAAUAAAGGAUAAGAUUAAAUAUCAAGCAGUGGAGGAUAUUUGCUAAGUCACAGGUUGUUCCCAUUCUACAAUGAUAUUUAAGACAACCUUUAAUGGUAUCUUCUCUCUUCCAAUGACCUUAGAAAGAUCAAACAUAACAUUAUCGAUGCUAGGUUGACCUCCAAGUUUCACUUUUUUAUCUCCUGAACUUUGUUCCUUGUCACGAGAAUGCUGUUGAUUAAUAUCUUUCUCAACAGUAAAGGAAAAGGAUGAACGCCCCUUCUUCUCUAUUUUAGCAGGGACUCGGAGUAAAUUUUUACUAGGUGGGAUGUUAGAUAUUUUCUGCCCAAGACCACCAAAAACAACUUUAACUGCAAUUUCUUGUCUCCCUGCAUUUUGAAUAAUUGCAGGAUCAGCAUCCAGCUCAAUCACAUCUAUUUCUUGAUCACCUUCAACCUUUUCUUCAUCUUCGUCCUCAUCUUCAGCAUCUGAAUUCUCG